UACGGGGGGGGCAAGCGUUGUUCGGAAUUACUGGGCGUAAAGGGCUCGUAGGCGGCCAACUAAGUCCGACGUGAAAUCCCCAGGCUUAACCUGGGAACUGCGUCGGAUACUGGAUGGCUUGAAUCCGGGAGAGGGAUGCGGAAUUCCGAGUGUAGAGGUGAAAUUCGUAGAUAUUCGGAAGAACACCAGUGGCGAAGGCGGCUGACUGGACUGGUAUUGACGCUGAGGUGCGAAAGCGUGGGGAGCAAACAGG
This 253-nucleotide ribosomal RNA is filed under the name uncultured bacterium. Its description in RNAcentral is "partial 16S ribosomal RNA". It matches the Rfam family "Bacterial small subunit ribosomal RNA", at positions 524 to 776 of the family's 1533-position model. The record is from RNAcentral.